Molecule: transfer RNA, 60 nt
Filed under: Scutigera coleoptrata (house centipede)
Lineage: Eukaryota; Metazoa; Arthropoda; Chilopoda; Scutigeromorpha; Scutigeridae
Description: transfer RNA-Phe(UUC)
Source: RNAcentral
GUUCUUAUAGUUUAAUUAGAACGUAGCAUUGAAGAUGCUAAGGUGAUGUUUCUGAGAAUA